AUGGGAACGCGAAGAACCUUACCUACUCUUGACAUCCAGAGAACUUUCCAGAGAUGGAUUGGUGCCUUCGGGAACUCUGAGACAGGUGCUGCAUGGCUGUCGUCAGCUCGUGUUGUGAAAUGUUGGGUUAAGUCCCGCAACGAGCGCAACCCGUUAUCCUUUGUUGCCAGCGGUCCGGCCGGGAACUCAAAGGAGACUGCCAGUGAUAAACUGGAGGAAGGUGGGGAUGACGUCAAGUCAUCAUGGCCCUUACGAGUAGGGCUACACACGUGCUACAAUGGCGCAUACAAAGAGAAGCGACCUCGCGAGAGCAAGCGGACCUCAUAAAGUGCGUCGUAGUCCGGAUUGGAGUCUGCAACUCGACUCCAUGAAGUCGGAAUCGCUAGUAAUCGUAGAUCAGAAUGCUACGGUGAAUACGUUCCCGGGUCUUGUACACACCGAGUCGU
RNAcentral lists this ribosomal RNA (446 nucleotides) under uncultured bacterium. Its description in RNAcentral is "bacterial SSU rRNA". It matches the Rfam family "Bacterial small subunit ribosomal RNA", at positions 954 to 1397 of the family's 1533-position model. The record is from RNAcentral.